Molecule: transfer RNA, 58 nt
Filed under: Bos indicus (zebu cattle)
Lineage: Eukaryota; Metazoa; Chordata; Mammalia; Artiodactyla; Bovidae
Also listed under: 1 other name
Source: Rfam by way of RNAcentral
UGGCUCAGACAGUAAAAGCAUCUGCCUACAAUGCAGGAGACCCGGGUUCGAUCCCUGG